UUACGGCCAUAUCACGUUGAAACGCCGGUUCCCGUAAGUUAAGCAACGUCGAGCCUGGUCAGUAUCUAGAUGGGUGACCACUUAGGAAUGUCAGGUGUUGUAAG
Non-coding RNA from Acanthosepion pharaonis, 104 nucleotides. The record is from the annotation of a GenBank genome assembly. Lineage: Eukaryota; Metazoa; Mollusca; Cephalopoda; Sepiida; Sepiidae.